UUUUUCCUCAUUUUGUUUCCUUAUUCGGGUUGUACUUCACUUUGCUGCACACAACAUGUAAUUAUGAAUACCAGUCAGAACAGUAGUUCGAUAUAGGAAUACAGUUACAAGUUACACCAUCGCCUACCUCCUAAGGAUGCGUUUAUUAAUAUGUUUCGUUUAGAAAUUCUGAUCAAAUUAUAACCUUCAUGUGCGGACCGUAUCAUCCUAUGGUAAAAUACGCUAGUUUUUAUAGUUAUGACUGUGUAGAUAUUUUAUAAUGUAAAACGAGAAAAAAUAAUAACCAACUACAUGUCAGUCUGUGGUAUUCAACAAGACCAGACGAGAAUAUCAACGGCAUUAUUUAUGUACAAAAUUACGAACAAAAACCAAAUAUGACACAAUAAUGCAUUGUUUGAUCUUUUUAUGCUUGGUCUUUAAAGAUAUUAGAGUUGAUUAUUUUUGAAUAACUUUUACAUUUUAUAUAAAUUCAUAACUGUGUGUGUCUGCAUUUAUUAAAGAGACAAGGAAGAAAAUACAGAAACC
Molecule: long non-coding RNA, 525 nt
Filed under: Mytilus galloprovincialis (Mediterranean mussel)
Lineage: Eukaryota; Metazoa; Mollusca; Bivalvia; Mytilida; Mytilidae
Source: RNAcentral